This 653-nucleotide long non-coding RNA is filed under the name Lactuca sativa (garden lettuce). Its description in RNAcentral is "long non-coding RNA (LSAT_LNC010146)". The record is from RNAcentral. Lineage: Eukaryota; Viridiplantae; Streptophyta; Magnoliopsida; Asterales; Asteraceae.
AAUUAUAAAGUAACUAUACAUUAUAAAUUCCCAAUCUUAGUUACUUUAGGAAAAUGUGAAUUUGGUGCUAGCCCAUAAAAUUACAAUUUGUACCUUACCAACUCAUUAGUGGAGCGUGUGUGGUUCACCGGCACACUAACAUGGACUAGUAAGAGUGGAAAAGGGUAACUUGACUUUAUUAUAGAUCGGUGGAGCAUGUGUGGUUAACCGGAACUAUACAUUAUAAAUUCCCAAUCUUAGUUACUUUAGGAAAAUGUGAAUUUGGUGCUAGCCCAUAAAAUUACAAUUUGUACCUUACCAACUCAUUAGUGGAGCGUGUGUGGUUCACCGGCACACUAACAUGGACUAGUAAGAGUGGAAAAGGGUAACUUGACUUUAUUAUAGAUCGGUGGAGCAUGUGUGGUUAACCGGCACAUCGAUUAGGUAAUAUUGAUAAGGGUACCAAGUCAAUUUGUAUGGUUAUUCACACCUUGUUUGUGAUCCUCGGCAUCCCAGUCACAAACUUGAGAGGGCACAUUCGAGAUUCAAACAUGCCAUUGAAAAGUUCAAUGUAUCUCAAAAGAUCUAGGAGUUUCAAAACCAAUAAAACCUAAUAAUAAAAUAUUUCGUCUUAUGGUGGAAAUUGGUAAAUCGUCAUUUACCUACCUUCAAAU